GGUAGAAGAGUGUGGUGAACACGAAAGAAGACGCAGCAGGAGGAAGUUCGGAAUGAAUGAGAGGUCGAACGAAUGAAUGAACGGAUGGAAACCGCACAAGGAGGGGACGGCAGGGAGGACAGGGAAGGAGCCAGGGUCACCCGCCAGAGCCUCGCCUAAGCGGGGUUCAGGAAGGACAGCGAGGGAGGCACCGGCUGCGACCUGCUGGGACGCGUGCGCCUGCAAAAUCCGUCCCGCGCGCAGCCUCCCGGCCUCCCAGAGAAGGCUAGAGUCCAAAGAGUCACAGUUUUAAAAGACAGAAAUGUUCACGACUUAUUUUACACACGCACACACUCACACAUGCGCGGUGUGCAGGGUCUUCUCCAGCAGUGCCUGGGAAGAUAACGUGACAAGAGCGCUCCCGCCCCCGGCGAGCCCCAAUUCCCCUUAAAAAAUGUCAAUGCAUUUUAGGGGCUUCUUUCGCCACUGAGUUUUGGGGGUGUAGGCAAGGGGUGGGGAGAGACGUGGACGGGAAGAGUGGACUUUAUUUUAUUUCGUUUCUUCUCUGCAAAGCUGUAUUUGUGACAUGCGUUACAGAGGAAGAUGUGUGGAGUGUAUUGCCAUUUUGAACGAGUUCUAUUAGAACAAAGAUUCGUUUAUUCUUAAGAUUUUACGUCAGUGUUCGAUUUGUUAGUAUUGUAGUCGCAAGGAUAUUUAAUUUUCGCUGUAAGGUGAACUCGGAGGUUUAAGAAGGUUUACGUAUCUGCCCCAGCGGAGGUCGAAGUUAACCUUGGUCCCUUCCCCAGUGCUUCCCGUUCCGGAUUAAAAAGCGCAAGGCCCGCCUCGCUCUUCCUGCAGCAAUUUGCAAACGGUACGCUCUCGGAAGCUGCUACCGGUUCGGUCACCUUCCUCUUCGGCGUCUGGCCCGGCGCUCGCGGACAGGCGCCCGCGUUGGGGGCCGGGGGGUUGAGGUGUCCUGUCCUCCCGGGACACAUUCACACACAAGCGCAGCCGCCGGAAAGCUGCUGAGGACCAGGCCGGCGCCCAGGGUCGUGGGCGCCAGUGCGGAUUUCGAUUCCGAGAUUCACCCUUUCUUCCCCGCCCUAACGCUGUGCGUCUCUGGCGCCCUCCCGGCGCCCGGGCUGCUUUGGGCCGCUAGGCACUGAGCCUCCAGCCGGGUUCGUCGGCCUCUGGGCGGAAAGAGAUGGCCACAGCCGCGCGCCCGCAGCCUGGUACCUGUCUUUCCAGUCCCGCGCCUCGGGGUUUGGCCGUCCAGAGGCCGGGGGCUUGGGGCUUGGGGCUUGGACCUUCGUGCGGCCUGUGUUUCCUCCUCCUCCUCCUCCCGCCGCUCAGCUUUUGUCCCUGCCCGCUCUCUGCAGGGAGUCCUGAGCUGGGGCCAGGAGCCCCGGGCCGAGACGAGCUCACUUUCAGCAGCAGGGCUGGGACCUGGAGAAGAACAGCCUCUCCCCGCUGCUGUCCGGAGUGGAGGCGGGCUUUUUGGCGGGCGGAUGGGUUGUUAAGGAUGUCUGGGGAGCUGAGUGGCGGACAGAGGAGGAGGAAAGAAAGAGGCCCGAGGUUCGUGGAUUUGGCCUUCGCGGAGGUGACUGGGGCAGACUCAUCCGUGACCCCGCCCGGCUUCUGGCCUUGUCGGCUCCAGACCACUCAUCAUCCGCGCCAGGUCGCAGGACGUCUAGGCUGCCCUCCUUCCAGUGGGGCGGGAGAGGGUGCAUCCGAGGGUCUCACUCGGAAUACAGAGUCCACGUGUUUGCUGAGCGCCCGCCAAGGACAGAGCGCCAAGCCUGAGGCUUAUUCUCGUGAUGUGGCGUUGGGUUCAGCUGCGUGACCCCACGCCCCGUCGUCUCCCCACCCCGUUCUCGCCCCCGCACGCUGCAGCCGAGACCCCUUCUGUCACCUCAAAAUGGAAGAUCGCAUUGCGAGAGCUGUGACAGCGCUUGCUAGGGAAGUGUUGGGAGACGAAGGAGGGAGUGAGGAGAAAGAGAAAUAAAAGGGAUGAGGGAGCGUAUCUGGUGCAGGCCGUGAGAGCAGCGGGCAAGUGCGAUGCGGUCUUCAAGGGCUUUUCGGACUGUUUGCUCAAGCUGGGCGACAGCAUGGC
Molecule: RNA transcript, 2092 nt
Organism: Pongo pygmaeus (Bornean orangutan)
Lineage: Eukaryota; Metazoa; Chordata; Mammalia; Primates; Hominidae
Gene: NRN1
Gene name: neuritin 1
Exons: 3
Source: RefSeq, a predicted model, not a curated record